GCGGGAAAUCUCACCAGGCCCGGACACUGGAAGGAUUGACAGAUUGAGAGCUCUUUCUCGAUUCGGUGGGUGGUGGUGCAUGGCCGUUCUUAGUUGGUGGAGUGAUUUGUCUGGUUAAUUCCGAUAACGAACGAGACUCUGUCCUGCUAAAUAGUUGUCGUGUCGUUAGUUUACACGAGAAUUUCUUCUUAGAGGGACUGGCGGCGUCUAGCCGCACGAGAUUGAGCAAUAA
Molecule: ribosomal RNA, 232 nt
Filed under: uncultured organism
Description: partial 18S ribosomal RNA
Rfam family: Eukaryotic small subunit ribosomal RNA
Source: RNAcentral